RNAcentral lists this non-coding RNA (29 nucleotides) under Mus musculus (house mouse). Lineage: Eukaryota; Metazoa; Chordata; Mammalia; Rodentia; Muridae. The record is from RNAcentral.
UAGGUGUAUUCUGCUCUGUCUAGGUCGUA